Molecule: ribosomal RNA, 433 nt
Filed under: uncultured bacterium
Lineage: Bacteria
Description: partial 16S ribosomal RNA
Rfam family: Bacterial small subunit ribosomal RNA
Source: RNAcentral
AACGAACGCUGGCGGCAUGCCUAACACAUGCAAGUCGAACGAGACCUUCGGGUCUAGUGGCGCACGGGUGCGUAACGCGUGGGAACCUGCCCUUAGGUUCGGAAUAACUCCCCGAAAGGGGUGCUAGUACCGGAUAAUGUCUUCGGACCAAAGAUUUAUCGCCUUUGGAUAGGCCCGCGUUGGAUUAGCUAGUUGGUAGGGUAAAAGCCUACCAAGGCGACGAUCCAUAGCUGGUCUGAGAGGAUGAUCAGCCACACUGGGACUGAGACACGGCCCAGACUCCUACGGGAGGCAGCAGUGGGGAAUAUUGGACAAUGGGCGAAAGCCUGAUCCAGCAAUGCCGCGUGAGUGAUGAAGGCCUUAGGGUUGUAAAGCUCUUUUACCCGGGAUGAUAAUGACAGUACCGGGAGAAUAAGCUCCGGCUAACUCCGUG